UACGUAGGGGGCAAGCGUUAUCCGGAAUUACUGGGCGUAAAGCGCACGCAGGCGGUUUGCCAAGUUCGGGGUGACAGUUUCCGGCUCAACCAAGGAAGUGCAUCCGAAACUGCUGAGCUUGAGUACUUAAGAGGAUCGCGGAAUUCCCGGUGUAGAGGUGAAAUUCGUAGAUAUCGGGAGGAACACCAGUGGCGAAGGCGGCGAUCUGGGAAGAUACUGACGCUGAGGUGCGAAAGCGUGGGGAGCAAACAGG
RNAcentral lists this ribosomal RNA (253 nucleotides) under uncultured bacterium. Its description in RNAcentral is "partial 16S ribosomal RNA". It matches the Rfam family "Bacterial small subunit ribosomal RNA", at positions 524 to 776 of the family's 1533-position model. The record is from RNAcentral.